This is an RNA transcript of Olea europaea var. sylvestris, 2525 nucleotides long. It is a transcript of the gene named 5'-nucleotidase domain-containing protein 4-like, with no coding region annotated. Lineage: Eukaryota; Viridiplantae; Streptophyta; Magnoliopsida; Lamiales; Oleaceae. The record is from RefSeq and is a predicted model, not a curated record. The transcript is spliced from 16 exons.
UUAAGAACAAAUUUCCGCCACUCGCUAAAAUACGCUCUGCGUGCUCUUCACUCUUCGUCCCUAUCCCGCUGCCAGUUUUACUGUUACAUUACAAAUAUUACACAAAAUUCACCGCCUCCGCUUUCCGGCGAGAUACAAGUUGUCGCCUGUCACGUGGAAUUCCACAUUUUUUCCAGAUGCAGUUGUUGUUGGAGGAAUUCGAUUCCUUUUUGCCAAAUGAGAAAUGAAAUUCCUUAAUAAUUUUUUGGCUGAGAAUGAAAAGCAAAGGAAUUUUAAGUGAAGCCAUUAAAUGCUUUUAGUUUCUAUACGGGUAUCUGAUUCUAUAUUCCGUUGGAAUUUGAGGGAUUUUAUUAGCAUUUCGCCCUUACCAAAAUGGCUAUAUAAAUCCAGGAUGCGUAUCAAGGGGCGCCCAUUUUCCUUUUGCGUUUCGCUAUUUUCUUCUCCAAAUCCCAAUCAUAUUCUUGAGCCCUUUUCAUUUUCCUCUUCAAGAAUUUUAUUCAAUUCCGGGAUUUUAUCGUCUCCUCUUUCGGGUCAAUUUCCGAGUAUAAGAAAAGUGACUAGUUGCAAAGGUAAUAACCUUCAUUCCAGAAAUACGAUGGAUGGCAUGGGUGCAGAUGGAAAAACAUUGCCACCCGAGACAACUGAUACCAGUGAUCGUGGUCAGAAUCCCUAUAUAUGGUCUUCUCCUAAAGCAGGACAAAAGAUUGAUAUUGGAAAGCAGAUAUUCUGUAAUAGGUCUUUGAACAUGAAGAACAUCGUUGCAGUGGGAUUUGAUAUGGACUAUACUUUAGCUCAGUACAAACCUGAGACUUUCGAAUCACUUGCUUAUGAAGGCACAGUAAGAAAGCUGGUUUAUGAUUUGCAGUACCCUUCGGAGUUGUUGGAAUGGACAUUUGAUUGGAAAUACAUGGUCAGAGGAUUAGUUCUUGAUAAAAAGAGAGGCAAUAUAUUGAAGAUGGACCGACACAAGUAUGUCAAAGUAGCUUAUCAUGGAUUUAGAGAGAUGUCGAAGGAAGAUAAAGUUGCUACAUAUGGAAGUACUUUGACACGCGACUCGUUUGAUGAACCUGACUAUGCUCUCAUCGAUACCCUUUUCUCUUUGGCUGAAGCUUACUUAUUUGCACAGCUUGUUGACUUCAAGGAUAAUAAUCCAGGAAAAGUUUUGGCAGACUACUCUCAAAUGUACAAAGAUGUUCGAGCAGCGGUGGAUUUGUGCCACCGUGAUGGUACUUUAAAGCAGAUGGUUGCAAAAGAUCUUAGAAGAUAUAUCAAUGAGGAUACCUCAAUUGUUCCCAUGCUAGAAAUGAUUAAAGACUCUGGCCGUGCUACAUUUCUGGUGACGAACAGCUUGUGGGACUAUACAAACAUCGUAAUGAACUUUCUUUGUGGACCAAUCACCAUGAAUAGCUGCUCUGCUUUUCAUUGGCUUCAAUACUUCGAUGUUGUUAUUACUGGCAGUGCAAAACCAGGUUUUUUCCAUGAUGAAAAUCGUGCUAAUCUUUUUGAGGUUGAUCCUGAGUCUGGGAUGCUUCUUAACACUGAUAAUGGCACUCCUAUGCCUACGGUAGAUACUUCAUUGAGGCUGCCCUUGAAUAUAGACAAGAGCUGCAGAGUUUUUCAGGGAGGAAAUGUUGGCCAUCUGCAUAAACUAUUGUCCAUAGAGUCAAGUUCUCAGGUACUUUAUGUUGGGGAUCACAUCUAUGGGGAUAUUUUACGCAGUAAAAAAGUGUUAGGUUGGAGAACAAUGCUUGUAGUUCCGGAGCUUGAGAGGGAGGUUGCACUUCUCUGGGAGUUGAGAGAUACCCGCAAGCAACUCCAGUUAUUGAGGAAUGAAAGAGAUCACAUAGAAGACAAGAUACAUCAUCUCAAAUGGUCUAUCAGGUUUGAUGGCGUGAAUGCUGAUAAUGAGGAAGAUCUAAUUGCCGAGGUUGAUAGACUGAAGGUCAACCUAAUAUUCCUGUCAUAUUCAGUGGGCGAAGCUGUUUUAUGUAGAAUAAACAGAUAAGCGGGUGAAGAAUCUUGUAAGUUUCUUCUUCAUUAUAGUGAAAAAUCUGGAGUGGCAAGUGGACAUAGCUUUAGCAUCAAGGAUUAAAAAAUGUAGAUUGAUUUGUCUGCUUUGUGUGUUUCUGAUUUUGUUUUGCUUAUUAUUUCUCUUGGAGUCAGGAAAAGGUUUGAGAUCUUCCUAACAUUGUCAUCCUUUACAAGUAAGUAACCUUUGAGUGAUAGUUGCGUGCAUGACGCUUAGUCUUUCAUAUAGCUUAACAACUGAAACAAAAGUUUGAAGGCGUUUGUCAUGGUUAGUCCUUUUAGCAGCUCAGGAUUCUGAAAUUACACUGUUUCUGAAUCAAAUAUGUAAUUUUUUCAUAUUUGUUUUACUAACACCUCAAAACUCACAGUCUCAGAGCGAGCAAGUGCGGCUCAAUCAUCAAGAAGCACAACGAGAAUGUCACCAAAUGUUCCACAAGGUCUGGGGACAAUUGAUGAAGACUGGCUAUCAGAAUUCACGCUUCGCACAUCAGGUUGAA